RNAcentral lists this ribosomal RNA (465 nucleotides) under uncultured bacterium. RNAcentral's name for it is "partial 16S ribosomal RNA". It matches the Rfam family "Bacterial small subunit ribosomal RNA", at positions 28 to 507 of the family's 1533-position model. The record is from RNAcentral.
GACGAACGCUGGCGGCGUGCUUAACACAUGCAAGUCGAACGGAAAGGCCCUGCUUGCGGGGUACUCGAGUGGCGAACGGGUGAGUAACACGUGGGUGAUCUGCCCUGCACUUCGGGAUAAGCCUGGGAAACUGGGUCUAAUACCGGAUAGGAGCCAUUUUUAGUGUGAUGGUUGGAAAGUUUUUUCGGUGUAGGAUGAGCUCGCGGCCUAUCAGCUUGUUGGUGGGGUAAUGGCCUACCAAGGCGGCGACGGGUAGCCGGCCUGAGAGGGUGGACGGCCACAUUGGGACUGAGAGACGGCCCAGACUCCUACGGGAGGCAGCAGUGGGGAAUAUUGCACAAUGGGCGCAAGCCUGAUGAAGCGACGCCGCGUGGGGGAUGACGGCCUUCGGGUUGUAAACUCCUUUCGCUAGGGACGAAGCUUUUUGUGACGGUACCUAGAUAAGAAGCACCGGCUAACUACGUG